Non-coding RNA from Pelobates cultripes (western spadefoot toad), 380 nucleotides. The record is from the annotation of a GenBank genome assembly. Lineage: Eukaryota; Metazoa; Chordata; Amphibia; Anura; Pelobatidae.
GUAUGACCUUUAAGGUGCAAUGUUCGUGCAAGUAGUGAACAAUAAAAUUAAUGUAAACUCUGAUCUGUCUUUUGUCUUUAAUGAACAGAUGUGUAUACCUCUUAAAUAAGAAAAAUUAACAAUAGUGUAAAACCUUAAAACCUGUAUUAAAAAAUAAGGUGAUAAUGGAACACUCACAUAAUCCAGAGAGAAUGAACCUAGCUCUGGUGUAUAGACCUUUUUGGCCAAUUUUGGGUGACCCCUCUUCUGUAUAGCAACUUCGAGGGAUAACCCUGGUCAUGGAGAGCCAAGAGUGAAAAAUAUUAAAAAGAUGAAAAAAUGUGGUCAAAUCUGUUAUUCAUUAAAGUUUUUUGUUUACAUGGCCCCAUGCUCUAAAUGGG